This 372-nucleotide ribosomal RNA is filed under the name uncultured bacterium. RNAcentral's name for it is "bacterial SSU rRNA". It matches the Rfam family "Bacterial small subunit ribosomal RNA", at positions 29 to 430 of the family's 1533-position model. The record is from RNAcentral.
AAUGAACGCUGGCGGCAGGCCUAAAACAUGCAAGUCGAACGCUGUAGCAAUACAGAGUGGCGCACGGGUGAGUAACAUGUGGGAAUAUGCCUUUUGGUACGGAACAACGUUUGGAAACGAACGCUAAUGCCGUAUGGUCCCUUCGGGGUAAAGAUUUAUCGCCAAAGAUUAGCCCGCACUGGAUUAGCUAGUUGGUAGGGUAAUGGCCUACCAAGGCGACGAUCCAUAGCUGGUCNGAGAGGACGAUCAGCCACACUGGGACUGAGACACGGCCCAGACUCCUACGGGAGGCAGCAGUUAGGAAUAUUGGACAAUGGGCGCAAGCCUGAUCCAGCCAUGCCGCGUGAGUGAUGAAGGCCUUCGGUUGUAAAC